This 1358-nucleotide long non-coding RNA is filed under the name Pan troglodytes (chimpanzee). RNAcentral describes it as "long non-coding RNA NONPTRT017694". The record is from RNAcentral. Lineage: Eukaryota; Metazoa; Chordata; Mammalia; Primates; Hominidae.
GGGGAGGUUAAGGGAAGGAGAGGGAUGCUGCAGCCGGAGGGCCCCCAGGCCUCGGAGGAGAGGGGCCCCCGGAGGAGAGGAGAGACUGCAUCAUCUGCUGCUCGGCCUAUGACCUCUCCGGGCACCUGCCCCGCCGCCUCUACUGUGGACACACCUUCUGCCAGGCGUGUGUGCGGCGGCUGGACACACCGGCGCCCGAGCAGCGCUGGAUCCCCUGUCCGCAGUGCCGUCAGAGCACGCCCACGCCUCGCGGAGGGGUGGCCAUGCUAGACCUGGACCUGGCUGCUUUCCUGGCAGUCAAGGCUGAGCGGGAGCCGGCAAGACUAGAACCCCUGCCCCUCACCUCCCUCAAAGGCAGCGCCAUCACUCAGCAGCCAGCUGGGCUGUGCCCUGCCCUGGGACCCCAGCCCCACUUCCCCCAGCCCAGAUACUGCUGCUGGGGCUGUGGCAGCCUCUGCUGCCCACCCCUAGGCAGCCCCGAGGUCUGAACUCUGGCCAUUCCCACCCCUGCAGGGGAAAUGCCUGCCUUGGAACCCCUGACCACACACCAUCAUGGGUUCAGCCCACUCAGAACAACCUGGCAGUAGCAUCCUAUAGCAGCUUCGUGUGGCCCAGCAGGGUGGUGUCAUCCCAGCCGUGAACAUCCCAGGCCACAGCCUAAGGUUGGGGGCUGGGAGGCUCCGCAGGAGGCUGGUGACCUCCCACCUGUCCUGGCCACAAUUACCAGACCCCAGACUAGCCCGACCGGAUGUGCCUGGUGAGGACACUGCUGUCUGAGUGGGCGGCAAGCCUGGCUUGGGCCUAGACGCAGCGCAAAGGAUGGCUCCCAAGAGGAUGCGAAGGCCAGUCCCGGGGGCCUGGGCUGCAGGCUGGAGGGGCAGGGCCGGUCUGGCUAUGCCUGGCGGGCUGCCCAGAGCAGGUAUCCCCUCUCCCACAGACGUCCCCGGGGUGUACCAGGAGGGUGGCAAGACUACCUCCUUCCUCCCCGCCCUGCAUGGCAGCCCUGUGAAUUCACCCACUCAACAAAGCUCAUGGAGUUCCCACUGUGUGUCGGGUGCGGUUCUGGGAGGGUCUCGUGCAGGCACGAAGCCAUACAGGCAUUGAAGAGGACGCCUCGGCGGGGCCUGCCUGAGGCCAACAGAGGGCUGGGGCCUGCUUGAGGUCUCACAGCCCAGUUGGUCUCAUCCUUCGCUGAACCUUUCUUGGCUCCGAGCAGCCACCACACAGACCCUUUUGAGGGGCCGGGGCUGGGGCUGGGGCCAGAGACUGUGGACAGCAGUUACCACCAAGUCAGUGCUGCAACACCCCCACCCCCACUGGAACGAGCUGUCACUCAGGAGCCCCAGGGAAGGACUGCU